Molecule: ribosomal RNA, 2902 nt
Filed under: Klebsiella pneumoniae
Lineage: Bacteria; Pseudomonadati; Pseudomonadota; Gammaproteobacteria; Enterobacterales; Enterobacteriaceae
Description: 23S ribosomal RNA
Rfam family: Bacterial large subunit ribosomal RNA
Source: RNAcentral
GGUUAAGCGACUAAGCGUACACGGUGGAUGCCCUGGCAGUCAGAGGCGAUGAAGGACGUGCUAAUCUGCGAAAAGCGUCGGUAAGGUGAUAUGAACCGUUACAGCCGGCGAUGUCCGAAUGGGGAAACCCAGUGUGAUUCGUCACACUAUCGUUAACUGAAUACAUAGGUUAACGAGGCGAACCGGGGGAACUGAAACAUCUAAGUACCCCGAGGAAAAGAAAUCAACCGAGAUUCCCCCAGUAGCGGCGAGCGAACGGGGAGCAGCCCAGAGUCUGAAUCAGCUUGUGUGUUAGUGGAACGGUCUGGAAAGUCCGACGGUACAGGGUGAUAGUCCCGUACACCAAAAUGCACAGGUUGUGAACUCGAAGAGUAGGGCGGGACACGUGGUAUCCUGUCUGAAUAUGGGGGGACCAUCCUCCAAGGCUAAAUACUCCUGACUGACCGAUAGUGAACCAGUACCGUGAGGGAAAGGCGAAAAGAACCCCGGCGAGGGGAGUGAAAAAGAACCUGAAACCGUGUACGUACAAGCAGUGGGAGCACCUUCGGGUGUGACUGCGUACCUUUUGUAUAAUGGGUCAGCGACUUAUAUUCUGUAGCAAGGUUAACCGUAUAGGGGAGCCGCAGGGAAACCGAGUCUUAACUGGGCGUUAAGUUGCAGGGUAUAGACCCGAAACCCGGUGAUCUAGCCAUGGGCAGGUUGAAGGUUGGGUAACACUAACUGGAGGACCGAACCGACUAAUGUUGAAAAAUUAGCGGAUGACUUGUGGCUGGGGGUGAAAGGCCAAUCAAACCGGGAGAUAGCUGGUUCUCCCCGAAAGCUAUUUAGGUAGCGCCUCGUGAACUCAUCUUCGGGGGUAGAGCACUGUUUCGGCUAGGGGGUCAUCCCGACUUACCAACCCGAUGCAAACUACGAAUACCGAAGAAUGUUAUCACGGGAGACACACGGCGGGUGCUAACGUCCGUCGUGAAGAGGGAAACAACCCAGACCGCCAGCUAAGGUCCCAAAGUCAUGGUUAAGUGGGAAACGAUGUGGGAAGGCACAGACAGCCAGGAUGUUGGCUUAGAAGCAGCCAUCAUUUAAAGAAAGCGUAAUAGCUCACUGGUCGAGUCGGCCUGCGCGGAAGAUGUAACGGGGCUAAACCAUGCACCGAAGCUGCGGCAGCGACACUAUGUGUUGUUGGGUAGGGGAGCGUUCUGUAAGCCUGCGAAGGUGGCCUGUGAGGGUUGCUGGAGGUAUCAGAAGUGCGAAUGCUGACAUAAGUAACGAUAAAGCGGGUGAAAAGCCCGCUCGCCGGAAGACCAAGGGUUCCUGUCCAACGUUAAUCGGGGCAGGGUGAGUCGACCCCUAAGGCGAGGCCGAAAGGCGUAGUCGAUGGGAAACAGGUUAAUAUUCCUGUACUUGGUGUUACUGCGAAGGGGGGACGGAGAAGGCUAUGUUAGCCGGGCGACGGUUGUCCCGGUUUAAGCAUGUAGGCUGGUUGUCCAGGCAAAUCCGGAUAAUCAAGGCUGAGGUGUGAUGACGAGGCACUACGGUGCUGAAGUAACAAAUGCCCUGCUUCCAGGAAAAGCCUCUAAGCAUCAGGUAACAUCAAAUCGUACCCCAAACCGACACAGGUGGUCAGGUAGAGAAUACCAAGGCGCUUGAGAGAACUCGGGUGAAGGAACUAGGCAAAAUGGUGCCGUAACUUCGGGAGAAGGCACGCUGGUGUGUAGGUGAAGCCCCUGCGGGUGGAGCUGAGACCAGUCGAAGAUACCAGCUGGCUGCAACUGUUUAUUAAAAACACAGCACUGUGCAAACACGAAAGUGGACGUAUACGGUGUGACGCCUGCCCGGUGCCGGAAGGUUAAUUGAUGGGGUUAUCCGUAAGGAGAAGCUCUUGAUCGAAGCCCCGGUAAACGGCGGCCGUAACUAUAACGGUCCUAAGGUAGCGAAAUUCCUUGUCGGGUAAGUUCCGACCUGCACGAAUGGCGUAAUGAUGGCCAGGCUGUCUCCACCCGAGACUCAGUGAAAUUGAACUCGCUGUGAAGAUGCAGUGUACCCGCGGCAAGACGGAAAGACCCCGUGAACCUUUACUAUAGCUUGACACUGAACAUUGAGCCUUGAUGUGUAGGAUAGGUGGGAGGCUUUGAAGCGUGGACGCCAGUCUGCGUGGAGCCAACCUUGAAAUACCACCCUUUAAUGUUUGAUGUUCUAACGUUGGCCCCUUAUCGGGGUUGCGGACAGUGUCUGGUGGGUAGUUUGACUGGGGCGGUCUCCUCCCAAAGCGUAACGGAGGAGCACGAAGGUUAGCUAAUCCUGGUCGGACAUCAGGAGGUUAGUGCAAUGGCAUAAGCUAGCUUGACUGCGAGCGUGACGGCGCGAGCAGGUGCGAAAGCAGGUCAUAGUGAUCCGGUGGUUCUGAAUGGAAGGGCCAUCGCUCAACGGAUAAAAGGUACUCCGGGGAUAACAGGCUGAUACCGCCCAAGAGUUCAUAUCGACGGCGGUGUUUGGCACCUCGAUGUCGGCUCAUCACAUCCUGGGGCUGAAGUAGGUCCCAAGGGUAUGGCUGUUCGCCAUUUAAAGUGGUACGCGAGCUGGGUUUAGAACGUCGUGAGACAGUUCGGUCCCUAUCUGCCGUGGGCGCUGGAGAAUUGAGGGGGGCUGCUCCUAGUACGAGAGGACCGGAGUGGACGCAUCACUGGUGUUCGGGUUGUCAUGCCAAUGGCACUGCCCGGUAGCUAAAUGCGGAAGAGAUAAGUGCUGAAAGCAUCUAAGCACGAAACUUGCCCCGAGAUGAGUUCUCCCUGAGACUUUAAGUCUCCUGAAGGAACGUUAAAGACGAUGACGUUGAUAGGCCGGGUGUGUAAGCGCAGCGAUGCGUUGAGCUAACCGGUACUAAUGAACCGUGAGGCUUAACCUU